UACGGGGGGGGCAAGCGUUGUUCGGAAUUACUGGGCGUAAAGGGCGCGUAGGCGGCCUUCUAAGUCGAACGUGAAAUCCCUGGGCUCAACCCAGGAACUGCGUCCGAGACUGGGAGGCUAGAAUCCGGGAGAGGGAUGUGGAAUUCCAGGUGUAGCGGUGAAAUGCGUAGAUAUCAGGAGGAACACCGAUGGCGAAGGCAGGUCUCUGGGCAUUAACUGACGCUGAGGAGCGAAAGCAUGGGGAGCGAACAGG
This 253-nucleotide ribosomal RNA is filed under the name uncultured bacterium. Its description in RNAcentral is "partial 16S ribosomal RNA". It matches the Rfam family "Bacterial small subunit ribosomal RNA", at positions 524 to 776 of the family's 1533-position model. The record is from RNAcentral.